CAGUGUAACACCUGUCAAGCCAAGUUCACUCAGAGUUGUACCGACACCGUGUGACCAACAAUGAGGCCGCCAGCUCCAUGUUAAAAUAUAACACGUGCAACACGACCUUCAGGGAGCCGCUUGACCUUGAGAAACAUCGGAAGCUGCAUCUCGACCGCAGAGGGUAACACCAGCUCCUCCUUAUCUGACAUUGUAUUAAAAUCACAGUAUGAAAACAUCCGCAACCCUACAACCACUCACGGUAACCAAAUGACCAGUUAUGGUUACCAUGGUAAACACACAACAACUGUACGUAAUCAAAUAAAUUGUUACUAAUCAAUAACUGAGACUAACCAUGCAACCAAUGCUGGUUACCAAGUUACCAUUGAUGGUAACCAAGCAAUAAGCGAUUGUAACGAAGCAAACACGAACAGUAACUUUGCAGCCCUUGAAACUAGCAUGGUUACCACAACUUGGACACAUGGUGUGAUCAUUGACAAUACUGCUCCAGACAAUCAUGCGUGUGAUGAUGGCAGUGGAUAUCUCGAUGGUGAAACCCUGCAUGUGAGUCUGAAAGGUGGUACUGGUCAGUCGCUAAACUGACCCAGGGAUCUGAAGUGGUGGACAUGGAACUGAAGAAGGUAACCAGGUCCAAGUACUUUUGGGCCGCGCUGUGUGAAAACAGG
Dreissena polymorpha is the source of this 665-nucleotide long non-coding RNA. RefSeq lists it as uncharacterized. The record is from RefSeq and is a predicted model, not a curated record. NCBI's taxonomy places the organism in Eukaryota, Metazoa, Mollusca, Bivalvia, Myida, Dreissenidae. The transcript has 3 exons.